GUAGGUGAACCUGCGGAGGGAUCAUUAACACGUAUCCUACGUAUAUACCAACCGUGAACUUGUUCUCCUGCUUUGAUUGGUAAAGUUUUGAGUGAAGUUGGCGUGAUAAUCUGAGCUAACUUCUCUCUCUGAGUUUUACUCGGGACUUGCUGAUUAAGGCGUAUCUGUUUCCUUAUCACGAAACAAUUGUUUUAAUUUAUUAACUAUUUGUACUUCUUUUGUACUAAACACAUGCGACUUUAGUUUUUAACUAAACUACUGUUGUGUAAUUACGAAACGCUAAACAACUCUUAGCAACGGAUAUCUUGGUUCUG
Molecule: unclassified non-coding RNA, 314 nt
Filed under: rhizosphere metagenome
Description: partial ribosomal RNA internal transcribed spacer region
Source: RNAcentral